Pelobates cultripes (western spadefoot toad) is the source of this 254-nucleotide non-coding RNA. Lineage: Eukaryota; Metazoa; Chordata; Amphibia; Anura; Pelobatidae. The record is from the annotation of a GenBank genome assembly.
GUAAUGUACUCAGCAGUAGGUAGAGUAUAGGGUGGGUAAUGAAUUCGGCAGUACGUAGAGUAUAGGGUGGGUAAUGUAUUUGGCAGUAGGUAGAGUAUAGGGUGGGUAAUGUACUCGGCAGGCGGUAGAGUAUAGGGUGGGUAAUGUACUCGGCAGGAGGUAGAGUAUAGUGUGGGUAAUGUACUCGGCCGUUGGUAGAGUAUAGGGUGGGUAAUGUACUCGGCAGGAGGUAGAGUAUAGUGUGGGUAAUGUAC